GGAGAUCGAGCAGGUGAAGGAGCGGGUCCUGAACAGGCUCCAUCAGGUACAGAGGAUAACACGGAGACUCCAGCAGGAGCGGGGGUUCCUCAUGAGGGUGCUGGACUCCUACGGCGAUGACUACCAGGCCAGCCAGUUCACCAUCUUACUGGAGGAUGAGGGCAGCCAGGGCACAGACGCCCCCACCCCAGGCAACGCUGAGAACGAGCCUUCGGAGAAAGAGGGGCUGUCCCUGCCCAGGAGGACGCCAGCGCCUAUAGAAGCCAGCAGCCUGGCCCCUGGCGAGGGGCCCAGCGGGCGGAAGAGGCGGCGAGUGCCACGGGAAGGGCGCCGGGUGGGAGUCCCGCUGACUCCGGAGCUGGCCCCCGUGCAGAUAAAGGUGGAGGAAGACUUUGGCUUCAAAGCGGUCGAGGCUCUGGACUCAAGUUGGGUUUCUCGGGGGCCAGACCAGCUGCUGCCCUACCCCACCCUAGCCAGCCCCCACUUUGACUGACCCCCCAAUAAAUGGACGCCAUGCUC
RNA transcript from Myotis lucifugus (little brown bat), 519 nucleotides. It is a transcript of the gene named TCF3 fusion partner pseudogene, with no coding region annotated. The transcript has a single exon. The record is from RefSeq and is a predicted model, not a curated record. NCBI's taxonomy places the organism in Eukaryota, Metazoa, Chordata, Mammalia, Chiroptera, Vespertilionidae.